AGAGUUAAACAGUACGUGAAAUUGUUGAAAGGGAAACGAUUGAAGCCAGUCGUACCUUCGGGUAAUCAGCCUUUCGGGUGCGAUUCUGUGGGGUGUGAAGAGUUAAACGCCUUCACGUUUUGCAUAUUCGUGCUCUUGGGUGUACUUGCCCGUGUGGUUGGUUAACAUCAAUUUUGGACGCCAUAAAAUGGCUGGAGGAAUGUAGCUUCGAUCUCGUAUUGAAGUGUUAUAGCCUUCGGUAGAUGUGGUUUUCGAGAUUGAGGAUUGCAACGGAUACCCUUCGGGGCUACCUAUCUGAUCUCUGAUCGUUGCUCUGGUGCCGAAAGCUUGCUUACGGUUAUCAAAGUCGAUGGUCAAUAUGUUAGAAUGGGUUAAAUUCGUUAAGGAUGUUGACGUAAUGGCUUUAAACGACC
RNAcentral lists this non-coding RNA (413 nucleotides) under uncultured fungus. RNAcentral also lists the same sequence under 1 other name. Lineage: Eukaryota; Fungi. The record is from RNAcentral.